AGGUGCUUAGGAUAAUUAAGACCAAGAGCCUUCAAAGCCCUUAGUGGGAGUUAAAGUCUCUCAGCCCCUG
This 70-nucleotide transfer RNA is filed under the name Oryzias minutillus (dwarf medaka). RNAcentral describes it as "tRNA-Trp". It matches the Rfam family "tRNA". Rfam says of the family: Transfer RNA (tRNA) molecules are approximately 80 nucleotides in length. Lineage: Eukaryota; Metazoa; Chordata; Actinopteri; Beloniformes; Adrianichthyidae. The record is from RNAcentral.